RNAcentral lists this ribosomal RNA (381 nucleotides) under uncultured bacterium. RNAcentral's name for it is "bacterial SSU rRNA". It matches the Rfam family "Bacterial small subunit ribosomal RNA", at positions 524 to 908 of the family's 1533-position model. The record is from RNAcentral.
GACAGGGGUGGCAAGCGUUGUUCGGAAUUACUGGGCGUAAAGGGUCUGUAGGUGGUUUUUCAAGUCUUUGGUAAAAAGCUGUGGCUCAACCAUAGUGAGGCCAAGGAGACUGGGAGACUCGAGGCUGGGAGAGGGAAGCGGAAUUUCUGGUGUAGCGGUGAAAUGCGUAGAGAUCAGAAAGAAGGCCGGUGGCGAAGGCGGCUUCCUGGAACAGACCUGACACUGAGAGACGAAAGCGUGGGGAGCAAACAGGAUUAGAUACCCUGGUAGUCCACGCCCUAAACGAUGGGUACUAAGUGUGGGGUAGCAAUCCCUGUGCCGCAGCUAACGCAAUAAGUACCCCGCCUGGGGAGUACGGCCGCAAGGUUGAAACUCAAAACG